AUCUCAGCUUAAGCAAGAGGACCCGCCGAAUUUAAGCAUAUAAUUAAGCGGAGGAAAAGAAACUAACCAGGAUUCCCCCAGUAAGGGCGACUGAAGCGGGAAGAGCUCAGGAUGUGAAUCUGCGCCAGCCUAUCGCGGCGCCGAAUUGUGGUCUGUCGACUGUGGCAUUACUGGCCGGGCCAAGUCCCUUGGAACAGGGCAGCUGAGAGGGUGAGACUCCCGUCCGCCUGGCUGGGUGAGCCGCAAGUCAACGAGUCGAGUUGUUUGGGAUUGCAGCUCAAAGUGGGUGGUAAAUUCCAUCUAAAGCUAAAUAUUGGUGGGAGACCGAUAGCGUACAAGUACCGUGAGGGAAAGAUGCAAAGAACUUUGAAAAGAGAGUUAAAGAGUACCUGAAAUUGCUGAAAGGGAAGCGAAGGAAACCAGUGUCGGCUUGAUCAUAUUUCCCUGUCCGCUUGCGGUUUGGGCGCUGUGUCCGGCCUCGGUUGUUCUUGGUUGGGUCUGCUGGAAGAGCGCGGUGAGAGUUGAUCUCCGUUGCUAGCAGUGGUCCUGACUGAGGAGGACGAAAUGGUUUUCUUUACCCCGUCUUGGAACACGGACCAAGGAGUCUAACAUAUGUGCGAGUACAGGGGUGGCAAACCCCCGUGCGUAAUGAAAGUGACAGUGGUUGGACUUUUGCACAAUCCGCCGGCCUCAAUCCCUCGGGAGAACGGUCUGAGUGUGAGCAUACAUGUUGGGACCCGAAAGAUGGUGAACUAUGCCUGAAUAGGGUGAAGCCAGGGGAAACUCUGGUGGAGGCUCGUAGCGAUUCUGACGUGCAAAUCGAUCGUCAAAUUUGGGUAUAGGGGCGAAAGACUAAUCGAACCAUCUAGUAGCUGGUUUCCUCCGAAGUUUCCCUCAGGAUAGCUGGAGUUGAACAGUUUUAUCAGGUAAAGCGAAUGAUUAGAGGUUCCGGGGGCGUAAUGCUCUCGGCCUAUUCUCAAACUUUAAAUGGGUAAGAACCCUGGGUUGCUUAAUUGAACCCGGUGGUCGAAUGACGGUUGCUAGUGGGCCAAUCUGGGUAAGCUAGAUUGGCGAUGCGGGAUGAUCCGAACGUCGAGUUAAAGUGCCAAAGUAUCCGCUAACCUAGAUCCCACAAAAGGUGUUGGUUCAUAUAGACAGCAGGACGGUGGCCAUGGAAGUCGGAAUCCGCU
This 1190-nucleotide ribosomal RNA is filed under the name Lingulaulax polyedra. RNAcentral's name for it is "Lingulodinium polyedra partial Eukaryotic large subunit ribosomal RNA". It matches the Rfam family "Eukaryotic large subunit ribosomal RNA", at positions 1 to 1272 of the family's 3401-position model. Lineage: Eukaryota; Dinophyceae; Gonyaulacales; Lingulodiniaceae. The record is from RNAcentral.